GCUUUUUUUCUUUCUUUUCUUUUUCUUUUUUCCUUCAAUCUUCAUCCUUUGAUGAUGAAAUCAAUCCAUUCCAAAGCCUAAAGUGUCUCAAAUUUCAUCCUCUACAAAACCCAUAGCAUAGUUUUAGUUGAGAGUCAUUAUAUUGAGAGAUUUCUACAUCUCUAGGUCGCGGGUACUGUUCACAAGAGGAGAAAAAUGAUGUUUUUCUUGGCUUGAAGGCUUGGAUUGUCUUCCUCUUAGUGAUUUAAAGCUUCCAAGGUUGUGGCUUUGUGAGAGAUCGUGACUCUGUGGACACGAGAAUUAGUGAAGGACACAGCUUGCCAGGUACAGGAGUUGAUGGUGCUGAGGCAUCACGUGGCAAGAGGCCAGAUGAGAGAUACUACUUGACAUGAUUGUCAGGGCCUUACAGAUAUUUAGAUUUGUACCUGACAUACUUUAUUUUGGGUUGUAUGUGCCAUGUAUUUUUUUGAGAGCAUAGGAGAUGUCUAUGCCAAGCUGAUAGUCUGUAUAUGUUGUUAGUGAUGCAUG
Gastrolobium bilobum is the source of this 528-nucleotide long non-coding RNA. RefSeq lists it as uncharacterized. NCBI's taxonomy places the organism in Eukaryota, Viridiplantae, Streptophyta, Magnoliopsida, Fabales, Fabaceae. The transcript is spliced from 3 exons. The record is from RefSeq and is a predicted model, not a curated record.